AACGCACAUUGCGGCCAUAGGUAUUCCUUUGGCCAUGCCUGUUCGAGCGUCAUUUACACCCUCAAGCCUAGCUUGGUGUUGGGCGUCUGUCCCGCCGCUCUCGCGCGCGGACUCGCCUCAAAGUCAUUGGCGGCGGUCGUGCCGGCCCCUCGCGCAGCACAUUUGCGCUUCUCGGAGGCCCGGCGGACCCGCGCUCCAGCAAAGACCUUUCACGACUUGACCUCGGAUCAGGUAGGGAUACCCGCUGAACUUAA
RNAcentral lists this unclassified non-coding RNA (254 nucleotides) under uncultured Ascomycota. RNAcentral's name for it is "sequence contains 5.8S rRNA gene, ITS2, 28S rRNA gene". Lineage: Eukaryota; Fungi; Ascomycota. The record is from RNAcentral.